Molecule: ribosomal RNA, 468 nt
Filed under: uncultured bacterium
Lineage: Bacteria
Description: partial 16S ribosomal RNA
Rfam family: Bacterial small subunit ribosomal RNA
Source: RNAcentral
GACGAACGCUGGCGGCGUGCUUAACACAUGCAAGUCGAACGGAAAGGCCCUGCUUUUGUGGGGUGCUCGAGUGGCGAACGGGUGAGUAACACGUGAGUAACCUGCCCUUGACUUUGGGAUAACUUCAGGAAACUGGGGCUAAUACCGGAUAGGAGCUCCUGCUGCAUGGUGGGGGUUUGAAAGUGUCGGGGGUUGGGGAUGGACGCGCGGCUUAUCAGCUUGUUGGUGGGGGAGUGGCUGACCAAGGGUUUGACGGGUAGCCGGCCUGAGAGGGUGACCGGCCACAUUGGGACUGAGAUACGGCCCAGAGUAGUACGGGAGGCAGCAGUGGGGAAGAUUGCAGAAUGGGCGGAAGACUGAUGCAGCAACGCCGCGUGCGGGAUGACGGCCUUCGGGUUGUAAACCGCUUUCGCCUGUGACGAAGCGUGAGUGGCGGUAAUGGGUAAAGAAGCACCGGCUAACUACGUG